CACACUCAGAUAAAGUAGGCACU
This 23-nucleotide microRNA is filed under the name Bos taurus (domestic cattle). Its description in RNAcentral is "Bta-Mir-7861-v2_5p (mature (guide))". The record is from RNAcentral. Lineage: Eukaryota; Metazoa; Chordata; Mammalia; Artiodactyla; Bovidae.